RNAcentral lists this long non-coding RNA (312 nucleotides) under Cavia porcellus (domestic guinea pig). Its description in RNAcentral is "lncRNA (ENSCPOG00000037495.1)". The record is from RNAcentral. Lineage: Eukaryota; Metazoa; Chordata; Mammalia; Rodentia; Caviidae.
AAAAACAUCACACUUUUUCCUACUCUGUCUUCUAAAAGUAAUGGAUGUUCCAGUGGUCUUUGCUCACACAACUGGAUUGGGUAUGGAAAUAGUUACUAUUAGUUUUCCAGUGAAGCCAAAACCUGGGCAGAAAGCCAAUCUGCCUGUGCAGAGCUGAAUUCUCAACCUCUCAAAGUAGACUCUGAAGAAGACCUGAAACUGCCUUCAGUGAUUGAAACGACAUGAUGGAGAGCUUUCAAAACCAAUGAAAACAAUGGAUCCAGGGUGAGGGAAAAUGUCUCCCAACUGAAGGACAGCUUGUAAGUACAAUGU